This is a long non-coding RNA of Mustela lutreola (European mink), 1180 nucleotides long. RefSeq lists it as uncharacterized. Lineage: Eukaryota; Metazoa; Chordata; Mammalia; Carnivora; Mustelidae. The transcript has 3 exons. The record is from RefSeq and is a predicted model, not a curated record.
CGGAGCCGGGACGCGGGCGCGGCUGCGCUGGGCGCGGGGAGGGGGCGCGGCCCGCACGUGUAUGGGAGGGAGGGGUCUCCGUGCGGCGUCCCCGGCAACCUGCACGUGGGGCCGCAGCCACGCGCCCACGCUGAGCGAAGCCUCAGCGCUCUGGGCCCCAGCACGUGGCGCCUCGCGGCGCGCGCGCGCUUGCGGCGGGCCGGGACGCCAAGUGCGGGCGGGAGCCCGCGGGCGCUGGCGCCCCUCUGCCUCCCCGGGGGAGCGCGCGGGAGGCUCGCGCACAGCCGCCAGCCGGAGUGGUCUCCGGCCCACCGCACGCUAGGACGCGGCAGAGCUCGAUCCCGAGACUGCAGGCCCCGGGCAGGUGCAGCCCCUCGGCCGCGCGGAGCUCCAGCCCCCCAGGUGCCGCCAGAGGACCCUCCCCGGCCGGUGGCAGAAGAGCGGAGCCCGCGCUCUUCACGUGGAGGUGUCGUACUCGCUGGCAGGUGGGACGCGAGCCCGGGGGUCAAAGGACGAAACAUAGCGUUCAGUUUAGAUCGUAAGAGCGCGUCCUCUUGCGUCCCACCGCGCCACCUGCCUUUUAGAAGUUCCUGCAGGAAGCCGGUGAUGUGGCAGAACAGCCCUGGGGCCGGCCCACCUGUGACCCCGACCCCCCAAACUACCGUCACUUUGCAGUAGAGGAGCCAAAUCCCGGAUUCCAAGUUGGAGACGUAACAGCAGCUUAGUGGAGGGUGACAGAAGGACAGUGGAAGGAACUGGAAGGAAAGCAAGCCCUGUGCCCAGACCAACUUGCUGAGACAGCUGCGGUGGACCUAAGUUCCCGUGCAUCUCUGCCACCUCAUCUCAGGCUGUUCCAUGGGACACCCCAACACCUGCCUCCAGAAGCAUACAGUCAAGGGGCCUUCCUGGGUGGAUCUGCCAAAAACAGAUGACGGCAUGUAAAGCCAGAGCACCUGAUGCACGUAGGAGGGAGGAGGAGUGCCUGGCAUUCCAGAGUGCCGUGGAGGAGGAGUGUGCACAUGGUGCCUGCCAGCUGGAACAAGGCAGGGCAGUAAGACCCAAAGGUACCAACAUGAUAAUCUACACGUCAUAAUUCUACCAGACGCAACACUUACACAAUGCCAAGAAAGCGUGCUUCGAGGCCAUCAGAACCAGCACUCUCCGGAGGAUAUCCUUAUUG